Non-coding RNA from Chiloscyllium plagiosum (whitespotted bambooshark), 1346 nucleotides. The record is from RefSeq and is a predicted model, not a curated record. Lineage: Eukaryota; Metazoa; Chordata; Chondrichthyes; Orectolobiformes; Hemiscylliidae.
CCCUCCCCCCAUCCCCACCACUUCGGCUCGGCUCGGCUCGCUUGGUGCUCUCUGGCCAAUGAAGGCAGCUGGGUUCGGGAGGUGAAAGUUCAGCAAGAGGACAACCCUGUCAGGAAGUAGAAAGUGUCAAUCUGCAGAGUGCCAAACCUUACUGUUAUCUGACUCCACUGACCAUUUCAAAGCAAAACGAGGACAAGCUGCAAAGUGCCGGUCCACACGUGUCAUUUCUCUCUCUCCCUCUCUCUCAUUCAGUCACCACGGCCAGAAGCGUUUAUUUAUUAUUUUGCCCGAAAGGAAUAACAAAGUAAAGUUAUGUUGGAAGGGGGACCAUUAGAGGCCGUGCUGAAGAGUGGCGGAUUUAUCUCAAGUCUCCGUUCUACUCAGAGAUGGAUUUGUGCAAAUGGAGAGCCUGGAACGCCAUCCCCUGGUUACAAAAAUAAUUGGGAAACGCCAAGGAGGAAAUAAUGCAUAUACAAUGGCAGUAUUAUUUGAGCGCGAUUCGAUGCAGAAUGCAAUGGUACAAAGUUAGGAACAUUAUAAACAUUUAGUGCGUGUAGGCGUCAUAAUCAAAAUGAUUGAACAAAACAAAAUGUCAGAAUUCUUAGAAUCAAAUGAUAACUCACAUUUAGGUUUCAUUCCAAUUAUACAAGGAACGCUUUUUUUAAUUAAAGUUAAUAGUUUAGAUGCAAUUAUAGAACCGGUUGAAGCCAAUCCACACGUGUUUAUCACAUCAAAUACCUGCACAACGGUUAAAACCGUGUCAUGAAUCUUCUCGCGAACCCCGCAGUUCUCCCCAGCUGUGUAAAUACUAGCCCAUUGUACACAAAAUAAACUAAACUCGCUUCUCGCCAACAAAGUGGAAACCGAAAAUCGUUGGGAUCUUUCCCCCUCCUAACGAAUAGCUUCGAAUAGCAGAACGUAACCCCAGUUCGUUUGAACAGCCUGCACUUUUCUGAUCCCUUUCCGAGCAUAUUCCUAACACCGUUUCUGAACUCUGCGAUCUCCGUCUCCGAACGCGAGGAAUGCGCCGACGUUUUAUUCCGAAUUCCAUCAAACUGUGACCGUCCCUGUAUAUUUCGGAUAACUGUGUGGAGAUUUGGUGGUUUUAAAUUCAGCCUGUGGGACUUACCUGGUCGCCGAUUGCUUUUUGUUGUUGAAAUGCAAAGCACAAACACGGAGCGUCAACAAACAACGAGAUAACAACAAACAAAUCCGACAUGCAAGCUAACUGUUAAACUUUAUUGCAAAGUUAAUCCAGCUAUCAUUUCUCAACACUCCAUGCGCGUUUCGCCUCAAAAUCUUUUCUCAAAAAAGCACAUGCCUGAUUUAAUAAACCCAUUUUCAAC